Molecule: long non-coding RNA, 2296 nt
Organism: Ostrea edulis (European flat oyster)
Lineage: Eukaryota; Metazoa; Mollusca; Bivalvia; Ostreida; Ostreidae
Exons: 3
Source: RefSeq, a predicted model, not a curated record
UUACUUUAAAAAAGUACAGAAACACAUUUGUGGAGAAACCAAAGGUAAACACAUAAACCAGUAGUUUCCUCUGGUGCACAAACCAAAAUACACCAGAAAGAGUUAUUGCCCUUUGUAACACUCUCUUGUAUUGGAGAUAUGAACAGCCUUCAUUUGUUUUCAGUAUGGCAGGAGGUGGAAAUUGAGUUUUUAUUCAAUUUGUUCUUCAGAUGUUUAUCAAUAUCAGAUGCUCUUUGUUCACUUAAUUCACUACCACGAUCUUUAUCUUCAAUUGUGCUAAAGGAUUCCGGUUUAUUUCAUGGAAUACAAAUCCGUUUGAUCUUUGCCAUAGUCACCGGACUCUAGCAUCCAAUCGUCUACGUAUUCGUAGAAAAAGUAAAUGUUGUGGAAUUUAACGCUUUAUUGCAUCACAUCCGACUAAAAAAAUGACCAGGGAAACAGAAGGCUGACAGACAUAUUCAUAGAAAAUAUGAAAAAGCCCUGCCUGUUGCCGUGUUGGAACUUGUAUUGACCUGUAUGAGCAUCAUACUGUGCAAAUCACCUAAAGAUGGAGUUGACCAAGUUGCUGACUUUGAGGAGAACUUGAAGAGCAGAAGAUGCAUUCCAUGACUCUUAUGUGAUAUAGAAGAGAAAGAAGAGCUCUUGAGAAUGGAAAAAAACUGCGAGUUUUACAGUCAAUGAACACACCUCACGACACACGUCCAUCCUGAUUCAGUAAACUGUUCUUCUAAGGAAACACCAUGACUUAGUUAAGAUCAAGUUUUGGUGUCAGAAGACUAAUGUAACUAAAACAUUGCAAAAUUAACCUGCAAGUGUCUUAUGUAAGCCUACUGAAUAAGGAUUCAUUACUGAACAGUUGAAGGAAAAUCAAUAUUAUAAUGAUUUUAAAAAAAAGAUGAUUGUGUUGUUUGGAUAACAUUGUGAUCCAUGUUUGUUGAAUAAACAACUUUGCAAAAAUGAGUUGUUCUGUGUUAAUAUUAUAAAUUUACUAAUUACUGGUAUGUCAACAUAGAUUACAGUAACACUGAACAAACUUCAAUAAAUUUUAACGUUUCAUGCAGUUUCUGCAGUAGAAAAUGACACCUAUUGAUUUUCUGGUCCAAAGGUCACCAGGUGCAAUAUAAUACUCUGUACAAUUGAUGUCUGACCAGUUUCUUCAGAACCCUUUGAUUGAUAGUGAUAUUUCAUACAGGGGUUGGUCACUGGUAGUAUAUGACCCCCAUUGAUUUUCAGGUCAAAAGAUUAAAAAUGGCAGGGGCCUCCGUGGCCGAGUGGUUGGAGCAUAGCGUUCAAAAUGACACUGCCUCAGUCGGCGCGGGUUCGAAUCCCGCUCGCGCUGGUAUUAAGUGAGAAAGUUUCCCAAUUUACUUUCGGAAGGUCGGUGGUCUCUUCCCAGGUACAUUGUAUCUGGGUUCUCACUUUCACCAAUAAACACUGGGCACCAUCAGAAAACUGAAAAAUUGUUGAGUGUGGCGGAAAAUAUCAAUAAAUCAAUCAAUUAAAAAUGACUAGGUGCAAUGUAGCUAGUACUCUAUGCAAUGGUGUCCCCCCAAUAUCUUGGGCCUGUUGUUCAAUUAUGAUAUUUCAUAUGUUGGUUGGUUAUGAAUAGUAGAUGACCCUAAUGAUUUCCAGGUCAAAGGUCAACAAAUACAAGGCAGUACAAUGAACAAUUUAUUGGUAUCUACCCAAUAUCUUGAGAAGACUUUUUAUAGUUAUUGAUAAUAGUUUACAUGACAAUACAGUACAUGUAAUAUAGCUCGUUUAUGGAAAUGAUUGCAAAAUCUACUUGGUAUUUGGGGAGGGGGGGGGGGUCCUACUGGAUUACAGUUUAUGUUUACAUGUUUUUUUUUAAUCAUUCUAACUAAUUUUUAUUAAUAUGUUAAACUUCUCCAUGUUUAUUUUUGAAAUAUCAAUUGCUCAUAUUGUUCAUUUUAACUGAAAAUGGUGUAGGUUGUAUUAUUUGUCAUUAGUAUGAAUUUUUGGCAAAAUGCCCAAAUCUACAGUUUUCGCACUACAAUAGAUCAAUUGUACUACAUUUCACCAUUAAUCUUUUUUUUUUAUAAAUUAGGAGUCUUUGAUAUGGACACCCUUUGAUGACAGUUGAUUAUGCUGUAUGUAUUUUCCAAAUUAUCUAAAUUCAUCAACGAAAUCCAACAAAAAAUCCCGUUUUGGCAAAAUGACCAAAUCUACAGUUUUCUUACUACAAUAGAUCUAUUGCACUACGUUUCACCAUUAAUCUUUUUAUAUACAUUAAGAGUCUUUGAUAUGGACAUCCUUUGAUGACAGUUGAUUUUGC